UGGUGAGGACCCAUUCCUUAGGGCAGUGC
RNAcentral lists this non-coding RNA (29 nucleotides) under Homo sapiens (human). Lineage: Eukaryota; Metazoa; Chordata; Mammalia; Primates; Hominidae. The record is from RNAcentral.